GUGAGGAAUAUUGGUCAAUGGGCGAGAGCCUGAACCAGCCAAGUCGCGUGAAGGAAGACGGCCCUACGGGUUGUAAACUUCUUUUGCAAUGGAAUAAAAAGAGUUACGUGUAAUUCAUUGUAUGUACAUUGCGAAUAAGGAUCGGCUAACUCCGUGCCAGCAGUCGCGGUAAUACGGAGGAUCCGAGCGUUAUCCGGAUUUAUUGGGUUUAAAGGGUGCGUAGGCGGAUUGGAAAGUCAGCGGUGAAAGUUUGCAGCUUAACUGUAAAAUUGCCAUUGAAACUGUCAGUCUUGAGUGCAAAUGAGGUAGGCGGAAUGUGUUGUGUAGCGGUGAAAUGCAUAGAUAUAACACAGAACACCAAUUGCGAAGGCAGCUUACUGGGAUGCAACUGACGCUGAGGCACGAAAGCGUGGGGAUCAAACAGGAUUAGAAACCCGUGUAGUCC
RNAcentral lists this ribosomal RNA (445 nucleotides) under uncultured bacterium. RNAcentral describes it as "partial 16S ribosomal RNA". It matches the Rfam family "Bacterial small subunit ribosomal RNA", at positions 354 to 796 of the family's 1533-position model. The record is from RNAcentral.